UGGGGAAUAUUGCACAAUGGAGGGAACUCUGAUGCAGCGACGCCGCGUGAACGAAGAAGGCUUUCGAGUCGUAAAGUUCUUUUAUAUGGGAAGAUAAUGACGGUAUCAUAGGAGGAAGCCCCGGCUAAAUACGUGCCAGCAGCCGCGGUAAUACGUAUGGGGCGAGCGUUGUCCGGAAUUAUUGGGCGUAAAGGGUACGUAGGCGGUCUAUUAAGUCAGGUGUGAAAGCGUGAGGCUUAACCUCAUUAAGCACUUGAAACUGAUAGACUUGAGUGAAGGAGAGGAAAGUGGAAUUCCUAGUGUAGCGGUGAAAUGCGUAGAUAUUAGGAGGAAUACCGGUGGCGAAGGCGACUUUCUGGACUUUUACUGACGCUCAGGUACGAAAGCGUGGGGAACAAACAGG
Molecule: ribosomal RNA, 403 nt
Filed under: Verrucomicrobiota bacterium
Lineage: Bacteria; Pseudomonadati; Verrucomicrobiota
Description: Verrucomicrobia bacterium partial 16S ribosomal RNA
Rfam family: Bacterial small subunit ribosomal RNA
Source: RNAcentral